RNAcentral lists this ribosomal RNA (346 nucleotides) under uncultured bacterium. Its description in RNAcentral is "partial 16S ribosomal RNA". It matches the Rfam family "Bacterial small subunit ribosomal RNA", at positions 338 to 681 of the family's 1533-position model. The record is from RNAcentral.
CCUACGGGAGGCAGCAGGGAGGAAUAUUGGUCAAUGGGCGCGAGCCUGAACCAGCAAAGUAGCGUGAAGGAUGACUGCCCUACGGGUUGUAAACUUCUUUUAUAAAGGAAUAAAGUGAGGCACGUGUGCCUUUUUGUAUGUACGUUAUGAAUAAGGAUCGGCUAACUCCGUGCCAGCAGCCGCGGUAAUACGGAGGAUCCGAGCGUUAUCCGGAUUUAUUGGGUUGAAAGGGAGCGUAGAAGGGUUGUUAAGUCAGUUGCUUAAGUUUGCGGCUCCACCGUAAAAUUGCAAUUGAUACUGGCAGUCUUGCGUACAGUUGCGGUAGGCGGCAUUCGUGGUGUAGCGG